CCUACGGGAGGCUGCAGUGGGGAAUAUUGGACAAUGGGGGCAACCCUGAUCCAGCCAUGCCGCGUGUGUGAAGAAGGCCCUCGGGUUGUAAAGCACUUUCAGUGGGGAAGAACGCCUGGUGGUUAAUACCCAUCAGGAAAGACAUCACUCACAGAAGAAGCACCGGCUAACUCCGUGCCAGCAGCCGCGGUAAUACGGAGGGUGCGAGCGUUAAUCGGAAUUACUGGGCGUAAAGCGCGCGUAGGUGGCUUGAUAAGCCGGUUGUGAAAGCCCCGGGCUCAACCUGGGAACGGCAUCCGGAACUGUCAAGCUAGAGUGCAGGAGAGGAAGGUAGAAUUCCCGGUGUAGCGGUGAAAUGCGUAGAGAUCGGGAGGAAUACCAGUGGCGAAGGCGGCCUUCUGGACUGACACUGACACUGAGGUGCGAAAGCGUGGGUAGCAAACAGGAUUAGAUACCCUAGUAGUC
This 465-nucleotide ribosomal RNA is filed under the name Vreelandella stevensii. RNAcentral describes it as "partial 16S ribosomal RNA". It matches the Rfam family "Bacterial small subunit ribosomal RNA", at positions 338 to 795 of the family's 1533-position model. The record is from RNAcentral. Lineage: Bacteria; Pseudomonadati; Pseudomonadota; Gammaproteobacteria; Oceanospirillales; Halomonadaceae.